GAUUCUGGCUCAGGAUGAACGCUGGCGGCGUGCUUACCACAUGCAAGUCGAACGGAGUUAUCAUUUUUGAAGCGAUUAGCUUGCUAAGAGUGGAAAUGUUGAUAACUUAGUGGCGGACGGGUGAGUAACGCGUGGGUAACCUGCCUUGCACUGGGGGAUAACACUUAGAAAUAGGUGCUAAUACCGCAUAAGCGCACGAGGCCGCAUGGUCAAGUGUGAAAAACUGAGGUGGUGCAAGAUGGGCCCGCGUCUGAUUAGCUAGUUGGCGGGGUAGAGGCCCACCAAGGCGACGAUCAGUAGCCGGCCUGAGAGGGUGGACGGCCACAUUGGGACUGAGACACGGCCCAAACUCCUACGGGAGGCAGCAGUGGGGGAUAUUGGACAAUGGGGGGGACCCUGAUCCAGCGACGCCGCGUGAGUGAAGAAGUAUUUCGGUAUGUAAAGCUCUGUCAGCAGGGAAGAAAGAAAUGACGGUACCUGACCAAGAAGCCCCGGCUAACUACGUGCCAGCAGCCGCGGUAAUACGUAGGGGGCAAGCGUUAUCCGGAAUUACUGGGUGUAAAGGGAGCGUAGACGGUAGUGCAAGUCUGGAGUGAAAGGCGGGGGCCCAACCCCCGGACUGCUCUGGAAACUGUAUAACUAGAGUGCAGGAGAGGUAAGCGGAAUUCCUAGUGUAGCGGUGAAAUGCGUAGAUAUUAGGAGGAACACCAGUGGCGAAGGCGGCUUACUGGACUGUAACUGACGUUGAGGCUCGAAAGCGUGGGGAGCAAACAGGAUUAGAUACCCUGGUAGUCCACGCCGUAAACGAUGAUUACUAGGUGUCGGUGGGUAUGGACCCAUCGGUGCCGCAGCCAACGCAGUAAGUAAUCCACCUGGGGAGUACGUUCGCAAGAAUGAAACUCAAAGGAAUUGACGGGGACCCGCACAAGCGGUGGAGCAUGUGGUUUAAUCCGAAGCAACGCGAAGAACCUUACCAAGUCUUGACAUCCUCUUGAAUACAGAGUAAAGUCUGUAGGCCUUCGGGACAAGAGAGACAGGUGGUGCAUGGUUGUCGUCAGCUCGUGUCGUGAGAUGUUGGGUUAAGUCCCGCAACGAGCGCAACCCUUAUCUUUAGUAGCCAGCGAGUGAAGUCGGGCACUCUAGAGAGACUGCCGGGGAUAACCCGGAGGAAGGUGGGGAUGACGUCAAAUCAUCAUGCCCCUUAUGAUUUGGGCUACACACGUGCUACAAUGGCGUAAACAGAGGGAAGCGAGCCUGCGAGGGGGAGCAAAUCCCAAAAAUAACGUCCCAGUUCGGAUUGUAGUCUGCAACUCGACUACAUGAAGCUGGAAUCGCUAGUAAUCGCGGAUCAGAAUGCCGCGGUGAAUACGUUCCCGGGUCUUGUACACACCGCCCGUCACACCAUGGGAGUCGGAAAUGCCCGAAGUCUGUGACCCAACCGAAAGGAGGGAGCAGCCGAAGGCAGGUCGGAUGACCGGGUAAUCGUAACAAGGUACCC
Molecule: ribosomal RNA, 1498 nt
Filed under: uncultured bacterium
Lineage: Bacteria
Description: 16S ribosomal RNA
Rfam family: Bacterial small subunit ribosomal RNA
Source: RNAcentral